GACAGAGGGUGCAAACGUUGCUCGGAAUUACUGGGCGUAAAGCGCGUGUAGGCGGUCACGCAAGUCAGGUGUGAAAGCCCAGGGCUCAACCCUGGAAGUGCACAUGAUACUACGUGGCUGGAGUACUGAAGAGGAGAGCGGAAUUCCCGGUGUAGAGGUGAAAUUCGUAGAUAUCGGGAGGAACACCAGUGGCGAAGGCGGCUCUCUGGGCCGGAACUGACGCUGAGGAGCGAUAGCGUGGGUAGCAAACAGG
This 253-nucleotide ribosomal RNA is filed under the name uncultured bacterium. Its description in RNAcentral is "partial 16S ribosomal RNA". It matches the Rfam family "Bacterial small subunit ribosomal RNA", at positions 524 to 776 of the family's 1533-position model. The record is from RNAcentral.